Molecule: non-coding RNA, 108 nt
Filed under: Candidatus Peregrinibacteria bacterium
Lineage: Bacteria; Candidatus Peregrinibacteriota
Description: Peregrinibacteria bacterium TPP sequence
Rfam family: TPP riboswitch aptamer (THI element)
About the family: Vitamin B(1) in its active form thiamin pyrophosphate (TPP) is an essential coenzyme that is synthesised by coupling of pyrimidine and thiazole moieties in bacteria. The previously detected thiamin-regulatory element, thi box was extended, resulting in a new, highly conserved RNA secondary structure, the THI element, which is widely distributed in eubacteria and also occurs in some archaea.
Source: RNAcentral
AUUUUCCGUUAGGGGUUCUUUUUGAAAUUAUAGAUUUCAAGAGGAUGAGAAAGACCCUUAAGACCUGAUCCAGAUAAUGCUGGCGGAGGGAAACGGACAAACCUUAAA